GAUGAAGAACGUAGCGAAAUGCGAUACGUAAUGUGAAUUGCAAAUUCAGUGAAUCAUCGAGUCUUUGAACGCACAUUGCGCCCCCUGGUAUUCCGGGGGGCAUGCCUGUCCGAGCGUCAUUGCUGCCCUCAAGCACGGCUUGUGUGUUGGGCCCCGUCCUCCGAUCCCGGGGGACGGGCCCGAAAGGCAGCGGCGGCACCGCGUCCGGUCCUCGAGCGUAUGGGGCUUUGUCACCCGCUCUGUAGGCCCGGCCGGCGCUUGCCGAUCAACCCAAAUUUUUAUCCAGGUUGACCUCGGAUCAGGUAAGGAUACCCGCUGAACUUAAGCAUAUCAAUAAGCGGAGGA
This 345-nucleotide unclassified non-coding RNA is filed under the name soil metagenome. Its description in RNAcentral is "partial contains 5.8S ribosomal RNA, internal transcribed spacer 2, and large subunit ribosomal RNA". The stretch from base 1 to 119 matches the Rfam family "5.8S ribosomal RNA", at positions 35 to 154 of the family's 154-position model. The record is from RNAcentral.